GACGAACGCUGGCGGCGUGCUUAACACAUGCAAGUCGAACGGAAAGGCCCUGCUUUUGUGGGGUGCUCGAGUGGCGAACGGGUGAGUAACACGUGAGUAACCUGCCCUUUACUUUGGGAUAACUUCAGGAAACUGGGGCUAAUACCGGAUAGGAGCUCCUGCUGCAUGGUGGGGGUUGGAAAGUUUCGUCGGUUGGGGAUGGACUCGCGGCUUAUCAGCUUGUUGGUGGGGUAGUGGCUUACCAAGGCUUUGACGGGUAGCCGGCCUGAGAGGGUGACCGGCCACAUUGGGACUGAGAUACGGCCCAGACUCCUACGGGAGGCAGCAGUGGGGAAUAUUGCACAAUGGGCGGAAGCCUGAUACAGCAACGCCGCGUGCGGGAUGACGGCCUUCGGGUUGUAAACCGCUUUCGCCUGUGACGAAGCGUGAGUGACGGUAAUGGGUAAAGAAGCACCGGCUAACUACGUG
This 468-nucleotide ribosomal RNA is filed under the name uncultured bacterium. Its description in RNAcentral is "partial 16S ribosomal RNA". It matches the Rfam family "Bacterial small subunit ribosomal RNA", at positions 28 to 507 of the family's 1533-position model. The record is from RNAcentral.